This 440-nucleotide ribosomal RNA is filed under the name uncultured bacterium. Its description in RNAcentral is "partial 16S ribosomal RNA". It matches the Rfam family "Bacterial small subunit ribosomal RNA", at positions 338 to 795 of the family's 1533-position model. The record is from RNAcentral.
CCUACGGGAGGCAGCAGUGGGGGAUAUUGCACAAUGGGGGAAACCCUGAUGCAGCGACGCCGCGUGUGGGAAGACGGUCCUCUGGAUUGUAAACCACUGUCCCCAGGGACGAAGAUGACGGUACCUGGGGAGGAAGCGCCGGCUAACUACGUGCCAGCAGCCGCGGUAAUACGUAGGGAGCGAGCGUUGUCCGGAAUUACUGGGUGUAACGGGAGCGGCGGCGGGACUGCAAGUUGGGUGUCAAAUCUACCGGCUCAACCGGUAGCCGCACUCCAAACUGCAGUUCUUGAGUGAAGGAGCGGCAGGCGGACUUCCUAGUGUAGCGGUGACAUGCGUAGAUAUUAGGCGGACCACCAGUGGCGAAGGCGGCCUGCUGGGCUUUUCCUGCCGCUGAGGCUCGACAGUGUGGGGAGCAAACAGGAUUAGCUACCCCAGUAGUC